This 973-nucleotide unclassified non-coding RNA is filed under the name Hevea brasiliensis (rubber tree). Lineage: Eukaryota; Viridiplantae; Streptophyta; Magnoliopsida; Malpighiales; Euphorbiaceae. The record is from RNAcentral.
AUUGACAGCAUGACCGAUGUUGACCCCUCUGUUUAUGCCAGUUACUAUUGGGUUUCAUCUCAGUAUCAUAAAACGCGGCAGGAAUUUGCAGAGUUUUACAAAAGCGCUCUCCUCUAUCUUGCAUACGUUUCAGUGGAUUCUCUUUCGGAGUCAUUCAAGCUGGAUUUGGCGUUUGAUUUGUCCUUGUCUGCUUUACUGGGAGACAACGUAUACAAUUUUGGGGAGUUGCUUGCUCAUCCUAUAAUAAAGAGUUUGGUAGGGACACAAGUUGAAUGGCUAUAUCAUAUCCUUGAAGCAUUCAACACUGGUGAUUUAGUUCGUUAUCAAGAAUUGUGCCGUGUCCAUAAAGCUGCUUUAAGUGCUCAACCAGCAUUAUUGCAGAACGAGAAAAAGCUUCUCGAGAAGAUCAACAUUCUGUGCUUGAUGGAAAUCAUCUUCAGUCGCCCAGCAGAGGAUAGAACUAUUCCAUUGAGUGCCAUUGCAGAGCGCACUAAACUUAGCGUGGAAGAUGUAGAGUAUCUCUUAAUGAAGAGUCUCUCUGUACAUCUGAUAGAGGGAAUAAUCGAUCAAGUGGAAGGGACUGUUCACGUGUCCUGGGUUCAACCAAGAGUUUUGGGUGUUCCUCAGAUCAAGUCACUGCGAGAUCGGCUAGACAAUUGGGUGGAUAAAGUACACACUGCCUUGUUAUCUGUGGAAGCUGAAACUCCUGAUUUGGUUUCAUCAUAAUCUUAGUUUCCCAGUUUGCACUUCCUGGUCCCUGCAGCACUCCGAUUUCUUCGUCCUCUCUUUUUUGCUGUGCUUACGAGAGCUUGUAACACAACAGAGGAAUUUUGUGAGACAUUUGUUUAGUUUUCUCAGGCCUACACUCUGUACUGUGGCUUAUAUCCCAAAUCAUUGAUCUGUCACUGUUUUCUGGAUUUAGGUGCUUGUUCAGUCACCACUUUGUAGUCUAUAGACUACUAUAGCGACGACA